Meleagris gallopavo (turkey) is the source of this 346-nucleotide non-coding RNA. Lineage: Eukaryota; Metazoa; Chordata; Aves; Galliformes; Phasianidae. The record is from RefSeq and is a predicted model, not a curated record.
ACUCAAAUGGCCAUGGAAACCAAUUCCAGACAAGCUACCCGAUGGACUGCCCAACACAAACUGUAACAGAUGAUCCCAAGGGCCUGAGGCAAUUAGAACCACAGGUGCUGGCACCACACCUCCUGAUUUCUUUGGCUGUGUCAACUGGGCUUUGUUGUGAAAGUGAGUCCAGUGUGGGCAUGGAAAGCAAUUCCAGACCAGAACCCAGUCAGCAGGGCUGUGCAAGGGAGGGCAACAUGUGGAAUAUGAGUCUGCGUCUGCUCCUCUUUUGCUUCCCAUCUGCCUUGCUGAUGCACUUGAGUUGGGGUAAUAAACUCUGUUACCACAAAGUAAUUUUGUAGCAGGU